UUAGGGUUAGAAGUAGCGCGAGAUAUGACGAGGGGGAAGCAGAAGAUCGAGGCGCAGAAGCGCAAUGCGGAGCGCAAUCAGAAGCCCAAGGGAUCACAGAUCGAGGCGCGCGCCGCGGCUCUCAAGAUAAACUGCCCAAUCUUCGCAAUUGGCCAAUUACAACCAGCUGCGAGACCACUUCGCGUCCAAGCACCCUAAAGAGAUUCCCCCGCCCGACACCACCCCAGCAUCGUCGUGAUUUCGCUCGCGCCCCCAUCCAGAGAUUGGGACAAAACGCAUCACUCGGGUAAGUCCAAGCGCACAGGGAAUGGAAAGAAGAAAAUCUCUUCAUUGGCUUUUGGGUGGGCUCAUAAAAAUUCGAUCGGCUCUCUAUCUUUCAUCGUCUCCAUCCGACCCAUUUUUUUUUUCCCACGUAGAACAGGCACGCCAUGACAAGAGGAUCCGAUAAGCUGACAAGUACGGGAAGAGUACGGCCGCGAGAGCAAUCAACCCGAGCAUUGGAGAUUUGGCAGGAGGAGCUGCAACAUGGUUGCGCCGAUGAUGUCCCUUUUGUGCAGCUUUCAUAUCUAUGCUUAUUUGGAUUAGGAAAAGCAAACUUCUAAGAAUGCAAAGCGCGGCAAUCAAAUUAAAA
This is a long non-coding RNA of Selaginella moellendorffii, 631 nucleotides long. RefSeq lists it as uncharacterized. The record is from RefSeq and is a predicted model, not a curated record. Lineage: Eukaryota; Viridiplantae; Streptophyta; Lycopodiopsida; Selaginellales; Selaginellaceae. The transcript has 2 exons.